CCUACGGGAGGCAGCAGUGGGGGAUAUUGCACAAUGGGGGGAACCCUGAUGCAGCGACGCCGCGUGAAGGAAGAAGGCUUUCGGGUUGUAAACUUCUUUUAAGAGGGAAGAGCAGAAGACGGUACCUCUUGAAUAAGCCACGGCUAACUACGUGCCAGCAGCCGCGGUAAUACGUAGGUGGCAAGCGUUGUCCGGAUUUACUGGGUGUAAAGGGCGUGCAGCCGGGAAGACAAGUCAGAUGUGAAAUCCCGCGGCUCAACCGCGGAACUGCAUUUGAAACUGUUUUUCUUGAGUACCGGAGAGGUCAGCGGAAUUCCUUGGGUAGCGGUGAAAUGCGUAGAUAUAAGGAAGAACACCAGGGGCGAAGGCGGAUGAAUGGACGGCAACUGACGGUGAGGCGCGAAAGCGUGGGGAGCAAACAGGAUUAGAUACCCGAGUAGUC
RNAcentral lists this ribosomal RNA (442 nucleotides) under uncultured bacterium. RNAcentral describes it as "partial 16S ribosomal RNA". It matches the Rfam family "Bacterial small subunit ribosomal RNA", at positions 338 to 795 of the family's 1533-position model. The record is from RNAcentral.